UCGAAGGCACAAAUUUGCCAAUAAUAGAACCAGAUAUAGACAGAAAGAACAUCUUCACUCCCACUUAAUCCAAGCAAUUCACACCAAAAAAGUCUCCAACUUUCCUUUGGUUCCAGUCAAUCACAACUUCAGAAACAACCUUGAAUAAUCUGCAUUCAAGAGGUCAACUGAAUUAAAAAUAUUGUAAGUAACAAGCAUUUGGGCUGGUGAUAUUGUUAUAAACGUGUUGUCAAAGAUUUGUAGAAACAAACUAAACGAGCUCUAUCUUCUUUUCACUGUUUUUUUCUUCUGAGGAUAGAAAAAAUAGAAAUACCUCUGUUGGACCGCUCAAGUAGUAAAAGGGAUCAUUGCCCUUGCCUACACAUGGGCCAUGGCUCCAAAUUCAUA
Molecule: long non-coding RNA, 387 nt
Filed under: Triticum aestivum (bread wheat)
Lineage: Eukaryota; Viridiplantae; Streptophyta; Magnoliopsida; Poales; Poaceae
Description: long non-coding RNA (TAES_LNC028587)
Source: RNAcentral